Molecule: long non-coding RNA, 1867 nt
Organism: Cyprinus carpio carpio
Lineage: Eukaryota; Metazoa; Chordata; Actinopteri; Cypriniformes; Cyprinidae
Source: Ensembl
CAGGACAAUGAUCCCAAAUAUACUUCAAAAAGCACCCAGAAAUGGAUGGCAACAAAGCGCUGGAGAGUUCCGAAGUGGCCAGCAAUGAGUCCAGAUCUAAAUCCCAUUGAACACAUGUGGAGAAAUCUUAAUUGCUGUUGGGAAAAGGUGCCCUUCCAAUAUGAUAGACCUGGAGCAGUUUGCAAAGGAAGAGUGGUCCAAAAUUCCAGAAUUGCACAGGGUUUACAUCUACGUCAAGUAGAUAUGCUUCAAGAUGGCACUGCGAAGAGAACAGCAAUGCUUUUCAUGAUGUCAAAGAAACUCAGAAGUGUUAGUGUAAAAAGCCUGAAGACGCACCGAAAGAAAAAGAGGCAGAGAGUUGGCGGUCUUAAGCAUGCAGAACAAUGUGACGACACGUUUGAGCUGCAUUCGGUCUAAAUGAGGCUGACGGAGACACUGAAGAGGGACUUCAGGAGCCUGAUCAAGACGGUUUGCAGCAUGACGCCCGAGGCGACGAUCAUCGUGUCAGGACCACUGCCCACGUAUCGACAAGGACACGAAAGGUUCAGUAGACUUUUUGCUCUAAAUGAAUGGUUACUGUCAUGAUGUAAAGAACAGAAACUGCUCUUUGUUAAUAAUUGGAAUCUUUUCUGGAAGUGUCCUAGGAUCUUUCGUGCUGAUGGCCUGCACCCCAGCAGAGUCGGAGCGGAUCUCCUCUCGGACAACAUCUCCAGGACUCUACACUCCAUUUGACUAGUAAACCAGUUCUCAAAUAACUGCUAUGUUGGCUUUUGUUCUAUCUGCUUAAAUGGUAGAAGUAUGUGCGCUAUCCAAUCUAUUAAGACUGUGUCUGUUCCCCGAAUAGUGAGGUCAAAAUAUAAAUGUAAUGUAGGAUCUAGAAAAAAAAUCUUAUCGUGAUUAAACCAGAAAAAUGUAAAAUAAAUGAACACAAACAAUUUCUAAAGUUUGGGCUCAUAAACAUUAGAUCACUCACACCCAAAGCAGUUAUUGUAAAUGAAAUGAUCACAGAUAAUAGUUUUGAUGUACUCUGCUUGACUGAAACCUGGCUAAAACCAAAUGAUUAUAUUGGUCUAAAUGAGUCUACUCCACUAAACUACUGUCAUAAACAUGAGUCCCGUCAGACUGGUCGUGGGGGAGGUGUUGCAACAAUAUAUUGUGAUAUUCUCAAUGUUACCCAGAAAACAGGAUACAGGUUUAAAUCAUUCGAAAUACUUCUGCUUAAUGUUACACUGUCAGAUAUGCAAAAGAAAUCUAUUGUAUCUCUUGCUCUGGCUACUGUGUAUAGACCACCAGGGCCAUAUACAGAAUCCUAAAAUAAUUUGGAGAUUUCCUCUCAGACCUGUUGGUUACCGCUGAUAAAGUGCUAAUUUUCAGAGAUUUUAACAUUCACGUUGAUAAUACAAAUGAUGCAUUAGGACUUGCGUUUACUGACUUAUUAAACUGUCUUGGAGUAAAGCUUAAUGUCACCGGGCCCACUCAUCGUUUUAAUCAUACGCUAGAUUUAAUUAUAUCGCAUGGAAUCGAUCUUACUGACAUAGAUAUCGUACCUCAAAGUGAUGAUGUUACUGACCAUUUCCUUGUAUUGUGCAUUCUGCGUAUUGAUGAUAAUAACGAUAUGGCUUCGCAUUAUAGUCCGGGCAGAACUAUUGUUCCAGCCACCAAAGACAGAUUCACAAAUAACCUGUCUGAUUUAUCUCCACUGCUCUGUGUACCCAUAAAAACACAUGAACUAGACAAAAUGACUGGCAACAUGGGCACUAUCUUCUCUAAUACAUUAGAAGCUGUUGCCCCCAUCAAAUUGAAAAAGGUUAGAGAAAAACGUACUGUGCCAUGGUACAACAGUAAUACCCACUCUCUCAAGAAAGAA